This is a long non-coding RNA of Labeo rohita (rohu), 324 nucleotides long. RefSeq lists it as uncharacterized. NCBI's taxonomy places the organism in Eukaryota, Metazoa, Chordata, Actinopteri, Cypriniformes, Cyprinidae. The transcript is spliced from 4 exons. The record is from RefSeq and is a predicted model, not a curated record.
CUGAAGUCUGCAGGACAGUAGCUCUCCAGGAGCAGGGUUGGAGAUUUCUGCUGUAGAGCAAUGACGAGAAAGCUUUGAUUUUAUGUUGAAAUCUAUUUUGCCAUAUAUCUGAGAGAAACAUCUGAAGAAAAGAUGAGAAACAUGUAUUCUGAGAUCUGUUUGAGACAUCAUUGAGAUUUCUAAAUUAGUCUUUUGAGUAGGAGUCCUUUGUUACCAAACUGGCGAGGAGCAAAGGGAUGUCACAGAUCCAAAUGCAUUUUUAACAUGCUUUCGCCAAAUGUUUGACAGCCGCCGGCAUGAUGAAUUUGAUUGAUGAUGUGUUGG